GACGAACGCUGGCGGCGUGCUUAACACAUGCAAGUCGAACGGAAAGGCCCUGCUUUUGUGGGGUGCUCGAGUGGCGAACGGGUGAGUAACACGUGAGUAACCUGCCCUUGACUUUGGGAUAACUUCAGGAAACUGGGGCUAAUACCGGAUAGGAGCUCCUGCUGCAUGGUGGGGGUUGGAAAGUUUCGGCGGUUGGGGAUGGACUCGCGGCUUAUCAGCUUGUUGGUGGGGUAGUGGCUUACCAAGGCUUUGACAGGUAGCCGGCCUGAGAGGGUGACCGGCCACAUUGGGACUGAGAUACGGCCCAGACUCCUACGGGAGGCAGAAGUGGGGAAUAUUGCACAAUGGGCGGAAGCAUGAUGCAGCAACGCCGCGUGCGGGAUGACGGCCAUCGGGUUGUAAACCGCUUUCGCCUGUGACGAAGCGUGAGUGACGGUAAUGGGUAAAGAAGCACCGGCUAACUACGUG
This 468-nucleotide ribosomal RNA is filed under the name uncultured bacterium. Its description in RNAcentral is "partial 16S ribosomal RNA". It matches the Rfam family "Bacterial small subunit ribosomal RNA", at positions 28 to 507 of the family's 1533-position model. The record is from RNAcentral.